GAUAGCCUGAACCAGCCAAGUCGCGUGAAGGAAGACAGUCCAAGAUUGUAAACUUCUUUUAUACGGGAAUAACGGGCGAUACGAGUAUUGCAUUGAAUGUACCGUAAGAAUAAGCAUCGGCUAACUCCGUGCCAGCAGCCGCGGUAAUACGGAGGAUGCGAGCGUUAUCCGGAUUUAUUGGGUUUAAAGGGUGCGUAAGGUUGUUCGGUAAGUCAGCGGUGAAACCUGAGCGCUCAACGUUCAGCCUGCCGUUGAAACUGCCGGGCUUGAGUUCAGUGGCGGCAGGCGGAAUUCGUGGUGUAGCGGUGAAAUGCAUAUAUAUCACGAGGAACUCCGAUUGCGAAGGCAGCUUGCCAUACUGCGACUGACACUGAAGCACGAAGGCGUGGGUAUCAAACAGGAUUAGAUACCCUGGUAGUCCACGCAGUAAACGAUGAUACUAGAGUUGCGAUAUACCGUCAGCUUCCACAGCGAAGCGUCACUUAAUCCACCUGGGGGAAUACGCCCGGCUA
This 512-nucleotide ribosomal RNA is filed under the name Porphyromonas sp. oral taxon B47. Its description in RNAcentral is "bacterial SSU rRNA". It matches the Rfam family "Bacterial small subunit ribosomal RNA", at positions 377 to 891 of the family's 1533-position model. The record is from RNAcentral. Lineage: Bacteria; Pseudomonadati; Bacteroidota; Bacteroidia; Bacteroidales; Porphyromonadaceae.